CGGAGAGGGAGCAUGAGAGAUGGCUACCACUUCCAAGGAAGGCAGCAGGCGCGCAAAUUACCCAAUGCAAAUACUGUGAGGUAGUGACAAUAAAUACUGACCCGCGUCUCAUAUGAGGUGUGGAAUCGGAAUGAGUACAAUGUAAAUAGCUUAACGAGGAACGAUUGGAGGACAAGUCUGGUGCCAGCACCCGCGGUAAUUCCAGCUCCAAUAGCGUAUAUUAAAGUUGUUGCAGUUAAAAAGCUCGUAGUCGGAUUCUUGGUUGCUUUCUUAGAUGAUAUGUGGUUACUUUUCGCAUAUUGUUUUUGAAAACAGCCAUUGUAAUAGAUCAGUCUAAAGCUUUCCUCCUUAACUGGGUUGGGGGCUUUUUGAUUUGAUCGAUUACCUUGAACAAAUUAGAGUGUUUAAAUCAGGCGUAACGUCUCGAAUAUAUUAGCAUGGGAUAAUACAACUGACUCAUUGAGUUAUGUUUUAUGGGGGUUUUAACUUAAGAGUAAUGUCAAUAGGGAUGUUCGGGGUCAUUCAUAUUCAGUGGUUAGAGGUGAAAUUCUUAGAUUCACUGAAGAUGCACUACUGCGAAAGCAUUUGACUAGGUCAUUCCCAUUGAUCAAGAACGAAAGUUAAGGGAUCGAAGACGAUCAGAUACCGUCGUAGUCUUAACUAUAAACUAUACGAAUCAAAGAUUGAAUAGUGUUAAUCGUACGACUAUCCAGUAUUUUGCGAGAAAUCAUUGAAUUCUUGCGUUCUGGGGGGAGUAUGGUCGCAAGGCUGAAACUUAAAGGAAUUGACGGAAGACUACACCAGGAGUGGAGCCUGCGGCUCAAUUGGACUCAACACGGGAAAACUUACAAGGUCAGAACAUGGUUAGGAUUGACAGAUUGAGAGAUCUUUCUUAAUUUCUAUGGGUGGUGGUGCAUGGUCGUUCUUAGUUCGUGAGGUGGCUUGUCAGGUUAAUUCCGUUAACGAACGAGAUCGCAACUUAUUAAUUGGCGUGUUUCUUAUUCUUCUAUACGGGUGAAGUAACUUGGCUUAGGUGGAUAGGGAAACCUACUUCAUCUGACUAGGUUAUGAAUCCUUGACGAAUAGAUACCGUCCGUUUAUUCGUACUAUCGGCGGAAAGCACGGAUGGAAGAUCUGCCAAUAACAGGUCAGUGAUGCCCUUAGAUGUCCUUGGCCGCACGCGCGCUACAAUGUCUAGUUCAACAAGUAUUUUUUAAAACUCUGACUCGAAAGGGUUGGAUAAUCUUAUGAAAACUCUAUCUGAUGGGGAUUGAUUAUUGAAAUUAUUGGUCAUGAACAAGGAAUUCGUAGUAAUUGCAAGUCAUCAACUUGCGAUGACUAUGUCCCUGGUCUAUGCACACACCGCCCGUAGAUCCUACCGAUUGAAUGAUAAGAUGAAAUUUAUGGAGUAAACCUUUUUUGGGGGAAAGUAGAGUAAAUCUUAGUGUUUAGAGGAAGGA
This 1460-nucleotide ribosomal RNA is filed under the name uncultured eukaryote. Its description in RNAcentral is "SSU rRNA". It matches the Rfam family "Eukaryotic small subunit ribosomal RNA", at positions 384 to 1784 of the family's 1831-position model. The record is from RNAcentral.